GGCCUUUUCAUGAACCGAUCGAGCCCCUAUAUGCAUUCGUGCCGGGCUUGCUCGGCUAUGGGGAUAAACGAAGGCGUGCAAUAGACGCAGCGGACCCGGGGGCGGUACCCGGCGGCUCCACCAUAAUCCUCGCGAAAGCGGGGCUCAUGAUGGGGCCGAACUAGGAUCGACGUGUGUUGAAAAGCGCUAUCUAUCUCUCAGCGUGGGCCACUGUGACGGUCUGAAACACAAGUGCCAACGAUAACGAAGCACUCGCUAUUGCGGCCUAACCCCACGGCUUAACGGCCUAAGGUUAGACUAAAAUGCGCGGUUGGACCGCACCGGGCAACAGAAGCGGAUUCCAGCGGUUUGGGGAGCACCGGGCAACAGAAGCUCCCUACU
RNAcentral lists this transfer-messenger RNA (381 nucleotides) under Sphingomonas xinjiangensis. The stretch from base 1 to 342 matches the Rfam family "Alphaproteobacteria transfer-messenger RNA". From Rfam's summary of the family: Bacterial tmRNA, also known as 10Sa RNA or SsrA, is named for its dual tRNA and mRNA-like properties. Its role is to liberate the mRNA from a stalled ribosome. The record is from RNAcentral. Lineage: Bacteria; Pseudomonadati; Pseudomonadota; Alphaproteobacteria; Sphingomonadales; Sphingomonadaceae.